Molecule: ribosomal RNA, 526 nt
Filed under: uncultured bacterium
Lineage: Bacteria
Description: bacterial SSU rRNA
Rfam family: Bacterial small subunit ribosomal RNA
Source: RNAcentral
AAUAGAUACCCAGGUAGUCCACGCCGUAAACGAUGAGUGCUAAGUGUUAGAGGGUUUCCGCCCUUUAGUGCUGCAGCUAACGCAUUAAGCACUCCGCCUGGGGAGUACGGCCGCAAGGCUGAAACUCAAAGGAAUUGACGGGGGCCCGCACAAGCGGUGGAGCAUGUGGUUUAAUUCGAAGCAACGCGAAGAACCUUACCAGGUCUUGACAUCCUCUGCCGACCCUAGAGAUAGGGCGUUCCCCUUCGGGGGACAGAGUGACAGGUGGUGCAUGGUUGUCGUCAGCUCGUGUCGUGAGAUGUUGGGUUAAGUCCCGCAACGAGCGCAACCCUUGAUCUUAGUUGCCAGCAUUCAGUUGGGCACUCUAAGGUGACUGCCGGUGACAAACCGGAGGAAGGUGGGGAUGACGUCAAAUCAUCAUGCCCCUUAUGACCUGGGCUACACACGUGCUACAAUGGAUGGUACAAAGAGCAGCGAACCCGCGAGGGUAAGCCAAUCUCAUAAAGCCAUUCUCAGUUCGGAUUGU